This 506-nucleotide ribosomal RNA is filed under the name uncultured bacterium. RNAcentral describes it as "partial 16S ribosomal RNA". It matches the Rfam family "Bacterial small subunit ribosomal RNA", at positions 29 to 523 of the family's 1533-position model. The record is from RNAcentral.
AGUGAACGCUGGCGGUAGGCCUAACACAUGCAAGUCGAACGGCAGCACAGAGGAGCUUGCUCCUUGGGUGGCGAGUGGCGGACGGGUGAGGAAUACAUCGGAAUCUACUCUGUCGUGGGGGAUAACGUAGGGAAACUUACGCUAAUACCGCAUACGACCUACGGGUGAAAGCAGGGGAUCUUCGGACCUUGCGCGAUUGAAUGAGCCGAUGUGGGAUUAGCUAGGUGGCGGGGUAAAGGCCCACCAAGGCGACGAUCCGUAGCUGGUCGGAGAGGAUGAUCAGCCACACUGGAACUGAGACACGGUCCAGACUCCUACGGGAGGCAGCAGUGGGGAAUAUUGGACAAUGGGCGCAAGCCUGAUCCAGCCAUACCGCGUGGGUGAAGAAGGCCUUCGGGUUGUAAAGCCCUUUUGUUGGGAAAGAAAUCCAUCUGGUUAAUACCCGGGUGGGAUGACGGUACCCAAAGAAUAAGCACCGGCUAACUUCGUGCCAGCCGCCGCAGUAA